AAGACGAGGCCGAAAGGCGUAGCCGAUGGACAACAGGUUGAUAUUCCUGUACCACCUAUAUAACUGAUGGAGUGACGAAGGAGGCUAUAGAAAGCCAGUUAAUGGAUUCUGGUCUAAGCACAAAGGCGUACAUAUAGGCAAAUCCGUAUGUAAUGUAGCUGAAGUGUUAUGGUGAAGGUAAUAGCGAUAUUACUGAAAUUUCUAGACGCCAAACUUCCAAGAAAAGCUUCUAGGGUUAAUUAUAUAGGUGCCCGUACCCAGAACCGACACAGGUAGGCAAGGAGAGUAUCCUAAGGUGAGCGAGAGAACUAUGGUUAAGGAACUCGGCAAAAUGACCCCGUAACUUCGGGAGAAGGGGUGGUCUAGCGAUAGACCCGCAGUAAAGAGUCCCAGGCAACUGUUUACCAAAAACACAGCUCUCUGCUAAAUCGAAAGAUGAUGUAUAGGGGGUGACACUUGCCCAGUGCUGGAAGGUUAAGAGGAGAGGUUAGUAAUGACUUCGGUUAUAUUUACGAAGCUUCGAAUUGAAGCCCCAGUGAACGGCGGCCGUAACUAUAACGGUCCUAAGGUAGCGAAAUUCCUUGUCAGGUAAGUUCUGACCCGCACGAAAGGUGUAAUGAUCUGGGCACUGUCUCAACCAUAGACUCGGUGAAAUCUUAAUACCUGUGAAAAUGCAGGUUACCCGCGACAGGACGGAAAGACCCCAUGGAGCUUUACUGUAGCUUGAUAUUGGAUCUCGAUGUGUUAUGUAGAGGAUAGGUGGGAGACUAUGAUGUUAGGACGCUAGUUCUAACGGAGUCAACCUUGGAAUACCACCCUUAGCAUGUUGAGAUUCUAACCUCGACCCAUUAUCUGGGUCAGGGACAGUGUCUGGUGGGCAGUUUGACUGGGGCGGUCGCCUCCCAAAAAGUAACGGAGGCGCCCAAAGGUUCCCUCAGAAUGGUUGGAAAUCAUUCGAAGAGCGUAAUGGUAUAAGGGAGCUUUACUGCGAGACCUACAAGUCAAGCAGUUACGAAAGUAGGACAUAGUGGGCCGGCGAUUCAGAAUGGAAUGGUCGUCGCUUAACGGAUAAAAGUUACCCUGGGGAUAACAGGCUGAUACCACCCAAUAGUUCAC
RNAcentral lists this ribosomal RNA (1116 nucleotides) under human gut metagenome. RNAcentral describes it as "bacterial LSU rRNA". It matches the Rfam family "Bacterial large subunit ribosomal RNA", at positions 1393 to 2503 of the family's 2925-position model. The record is from RNAcentral.